RNAcentral lists this ribosomal RNA (460 nucleotides) under uncultured bacterium. Its description in RNAcentral is "partial 16S ribosomal RNA". It matches the Rfam family "Bacterial small subunit ribosomal RNA", at positions 338 to 795 of the family's 1533-position model. The record is from RNAcentral.
CCUACGGGAGGCUGCAGUGAGGAAUAUUGGUCAAUGGCCGGAAGGCUGAACCAGCCAAGCCGCGUGAAGGACGAAGGUGCCAAGCAUUGUAAACUUCUUUUGUCAAGGGACAAAAUCAGGCUCGAGAGCCUGACCGAGGGUACUUGACGAAAAAGCAUCGGCUAACUACGUGCCAGCAGCCGCGGUAAUACGUAGGGGGCAAGCGUUAUCCGGAUUUAUUGGGUGUAAAGGGUGCGUAGACGGCAGUGCAAGUUAGGGGUGAAAGGCCGGGGCUCAACCCCGGAACUGCUCUGAAAACUGUACGGCUGGAGAGCAGGAGAGGUAAGUGGAAUUCCUAGUGUAGCGGUGAAAUGCGUAGAUAUUAGGAGGAACACCAGUGGCGAAGGCGGCUUACUGAACUGUAACUGACGUUGAGGCUCGAAAGCGUGGGGAGCAAACAGGAUUAGAUACCCCAGUAGUC